CAGCAGCCGCGGGAAUACGGAGGGUGCAAGCGUUACUCGGAAUCACUGGGCGUAAAGGACGCGUAGGCGGAUUAUCAAGUCUCUUGUGAAAUCUAACGGCUUGACCGUUAAACUGCUUGGGAAACUGAUAAUCUAGAGUAAGGGAGAGGCAGAUGGAAUUCUUGGUGUAGGGGUAAAAUCCGUAGAGAUCAAGAAGAAUACCCAUUGCGAAAGCGAUCUGCUGGAACUUAACUGACGCUAAUGCGUGAAAGCGUGGGGAGCAAACAGGAUUAGAUACCCGAGUAGUCCCUGUCUCUUAUAC
Molecule: ribosomal RNA, 301 nt
Filed under: uncultured bacterium
Lineage: Bacteria
Description: partial 16S ribosomal RNA
Rfam family: Bacterial small subunit ribosomal RNA
Source: RNAcentral